This 280-nucleotide long non-coding RNA is filed under the name Vigna radiata. RNAcentral describes it as "long non-coding RNA (VRAD_LNC003058)". Lineage: Eukaryota; Viridiplantae; Streptophyta; Magnoliopsida; Fabales; Fabaceae. The record is from RNAcentral.
GAGGGAAAACCAUAAGAGGGUCAAAGAAGAUGGUGGUGGUUGUCGACAUUUGGAUUAUGAGAGUGUGGGAUGGAAUCGUUGACCUAAAGUAAUCUAACAAUAAUGAUGAAGAGAAAUAUAAAGAUAAUAUAAACAAAUAUCAUGAGAAAGAAGAGGAACAAAAUACAACUAAUAAUUAAAUUAAAAAUAAUAUAAAACAAUUGUAGCGAUUAAUAUAAAUUAACGAUAAUACAAAUAUUUCUUGUCGUAUAUUUUACCUUUACAAAGUAAGUGUUGGUAA